Molecule: long non-coding RNA, 243 nt
Filed under: Elaeis guineensis (African oil palm)
Lineage: Eukaryota; Viridiplantae; Streptophyta; Magnoliopsida; Arecales; Arecaceae
Description: long non-coding RNA (EGUI_LNC057958)
Source: RNAcentral
CAAAAUCUGCAACCCCAAACACCUUUCUCCAAACAAAAAAAACACCAAAAUAACCCCCUUUAUCGAAUAUCUAUCUGAUUUAGAUCUUCCUUCCAACCUUUUUUUUCACCUCUUCCACAUGUAGAACCUCUCCACCUCAAAUAGGAGAUCACCAUGAAGAAGACAAAGAAAAGUUUUGGGAUAAAAUCUAGUGCUACAGAUUCUGGAUGCAGAAAUCCUAGGCACCCUUCUUCUUUCCUCCAC